GAUUUCAAUUGAAAAAGUCAUCAACAACGAAGUUGUAUAACUCAUCAAGAUCUAUAACUUUUAUUUUGGUCGUUUCUUCAUCCGACGAAGUGAUAGUAACAUUGUUUACAAAAUUUACAUUUGUCUCAUUUGGUUCUAUAAACUAUAAGAGAGAUAUGUAAACUUUGUGAACAAUAUUACUAUCACUUUAUCGGAUGAAGAAAUGACCAAAAUAAAAGUUGUAUGUCUUGAUGAGCUCUACAACUUUUAUGUUCAUGACUUUUUCAGCUGAAAUU
This is a non-coding RNA of Oryza nivara, 275 nucleotides long. The record is from Rfam. NCBI's taxonomy places the organism in Eukaryota, Viridiplantae, Streptophyta, Magnoliopsida, Poales, Poaceae.